This 1085-nucleotide long non-coding RNA is filed under the name Sinocyclocheilus anshuiensis. Its description in RNAcentral is "lncRNA (ENSSANG00000045670.1)". Lineage: Eukaryota; Metazoa; Chordata; Actinopteri; Cypriniformes; Cyprinidae. The record is from RNAcentral.
AAAAGAUGUAAAUCUCCAAAAUGCAGAAGUACAGCAAAAUAACAAAUAUGUAUUAAUUUGGACUAGAAUGAUGCAUCCCAUUUGAUACAUGAAGCUGUAGAUUACUCAUGUAAUGGAGACCCAUUAGCAUACCACACCCCUAAUAUUAUAAAGAGUCUUGACAUGUGUUCUAUGGGUUUGCAUGCAUUUACAUUACUAUUUAUUAACACAUUUACUAAGGGACAGUACUACAGGGUAUUAGAAUGACAUUACAUUUUUCUGUGUUAGGGAGGCGUAAACCACCAGCAACACUCUCAAAACCAGACCGGCCUGAUGAAUAUAGUGCUACUGCAUCUCCACGGCCAGUGAGGGUUCCUUUGCCAGUACCUCCAGAGUUGCUUGAAUUAUCUACAAGCAAGACCACAUCGCCUUUGAGACCAGUGCAGGAAACCGUGUUCUGUCUGUCCCUCCUCCCAGUGACCUCUGCACAGUCUACAGCCUCUACUCCUCCCUCAGGACCCCCCGCAGUUGCUGGCCAGUCUUUCUCUGGAUUCCCUGCAGCCACUACUGGGUACCCCUCAACUCAGUUGGAGGAGAAGCAUGCUGUUCCACCAAUGCCAAGCUAUGAGCAGGAUGUGAUAAGAUGGCACUGCUCUCAACAGCAGAGAAUCUGGAUGAAAACAGAAAUGGAAGCCUUGGGACUGUGGCCAGGUUCUAGACCGGUGAGACAUCCAAUGAACAUGAUCUCUUUGUGGCGUUACCCACCUCAGCCUGAGCUUAUUGAUGCUGUCUAUGAGCUGCCAUCACCGAAAUACUUUCAACUUCAUCCAUUCUUCAUUUGGAAACCAGAGCACACCAUUAUGGAAAGAGUCCGCAACAACUACACUCUGCCAUGUCUGUACGGCUGUCCGAAUCCCCACGUUGUCUCAUCAGGAGUUGGACGACCCCGUGUCAUUAUUGGUACAAGCAGCCAGUACUACAUACUGGCCUCUCGGCUCAGCUGUAAAGGCUGUAAAAAGUACUGGUUUGCAGACAAACCCCAAUGGAUGGACAUGCUGUCGAGUCGGUUCUCAGUCAUUCUGAGACACAGCAAAGUCUCCCAAUGA